GAACGCCAUCGAGCUGGGCCUGCUGGAGGUGCUCCAGAAGGACCCCGCGGCGGCGCUGUCGCCGGAGGAGGUGGUGGCGCGGCUCCCCGUGGCGCCGGCCAACCCCGACGCGCCGGUGAUGGUGGACCGCAUGCUGCGGCUGCUCGCCUCCUACGACGUCGUGAGGUGCCAGAUGGAGGACAAGGACGGCAAGUACUCCCGCCGGUACGCCGCCGCGCCGGUGGGCAAGUGGCUCACCCCCAACGAGGACGGCGUCUCCAUGGCCGCGCUCGCGCUCAUGAACCAGGACAAGGUCCUCAUGGAGAGCUGGUGAGUGUGCCUUGGUUAAUUGAUCAUUGCUCUUCGAUUAACUUUUUUGUUGAUGCAUGAGCUGAUCGAACAAUCGAUUUAGUUUUGUUUUCUUCACUUUUUAACACAUAAUAUGGUAGUUGCUGUAAAUUUCAAGUACAAGCAUGCAUAUGAUAGUUAGGUUAUCCUUAAUAUUUCUCUGAAUACAAAAAUAUUUUCUGAAAGAAAGGAGAAUCAAGUUUUUCUUUUAAAAAAAUAGGAAAGAAAAGUAAGCAGGCGCCAAAGUUGUCUCCACUCUCCAUUAGGUGAGACUUUUGGGAACCUUGGAGAAGGAACAUCAUGGACCAGCUCCAUCCCUUUCUAAAAUCUGGAUUAUUUGACGGCUCAGAUGGUUCAAGAAUUUCUCCCAAUCCCACCACGAGGAUUGGAAAAUGAUCCCUGCUGUUAUUUUUUAAAAUAAAAAAAGGAUAAAAUCAGGUCCGUGCUGUUAUGGACUGAGCCUCUGGGCCACCAACUGAAGCUGAAUUUUCAGACAGCCAAACUGGUUGGUGUGUGUGAUAUGGACCACAGGCCACUGACUAGUAGCAUUUGGCAUAUCGGCUGAUGCUGAUAGAUUCUUGCCCUGUUCCUUCUAGACAUCAGUAGCAGUAUCUUCAGUUUGGCAAAUCUUUCAAAAUGUUCAUACUGGUCGGUGGCUUCAGACCUUUUACAGGGCACUAUGGCAGUACACCCCAAUUGGUCAUUGCUCUGGAUAGCACUGUAUGCAUUGCUACAAGUAGCAGUUACUAAAAUGAAACAUAGGCACAUCGAAGACACAUCGCAUCGAACCAGAAAUCCAUAUGAAUGAAAAAUCCAUCAAAUUCAUUCUUCAGACUAUAUAAUUUCUAUCUUUAUCAUGAAUCAGGUACUACCUGAAGGACGCUGUUCUGGAGGGCGGCAUCCCGUUCAACAAGGCGUACGGCAUGACGGCGUUCGAGUACCACGGCACGGAUCCUCGCUUCAACCGCGUGUUCAACGAGGGCAUGAAGAACCACUCGGUGAUCAUCACCAAGAAGCUCCUCGAGUUCUACACGGGCUUCGAGGGCGUGGGCACCCUGGUCGACGUCGGCGGCGGCAUUGGCGCCACCCUCCACGCCAUCACCUCCUGCCACCCGCAGAUCAAGGGCGUCAACUUCGACCUCCCCCAUGUGAUCUCCGAGGCGCCGCCGUUCCCCGGCGUGCAGCACGUCGGCGGCGACAUGUUCAAGUCGGUCCCCGCCGGCGACGCCAUCCUCAUGAAGUGGAUCCUCCACGACUGGAGCGACGCCCACUGCGCGACGAUCCUCAAGAACUGCUACGACGCGCUGCCGGCGAACGGCAAGGUCAUCAUCGUCGAGUGCGUCCUCCCGGUGAACCCGGAGGCUACCCCCAAGGCGCAGGGCGUGUUCCACGUCGACAUGAUCAUGCUCGCGCACAACCCCGGCGGCAAGGAGAGGUACGAGAGGGA
RNAcentral lists this long non-coding RNA (1774 nucleotides) under Setaria italica (foxtail millet). RNAcentral describes it as "long non-coding RNA (SITA_LNC004316)". Lineage: Eukaryota; Viridiplantae; Streptophyta; Magnoliopsida; Poales; Poaceae. The record is from RNAcentral.